This 1173-nucleotide ribosomal RNA is filed under the name metagenome. Its description in RNAcentral is "bacterial SSU rRNA". It matches the Rfam family "Bacterial small subunit ribosomal RNA", at positions 333 to 1498 of the family's 1533-position model. The record is from RNAcentral.
AGACUCCUACGGAGGCAGCAGUAGGGAAUAUUGGACAAUGGGCGAAAGCCUGAUCCAGCAACGCCGCGUGGAUGACGAAGCAUCUUGGUGUGUAAAAUCCUGUCAGUGGGGACGAAACGUAGAGGUAGGAAAUGACCUUUACCUGACUGUACCCGCAGAGGAAGUUCCGGCCAACUCCGUGCCAGCAGCCGCGGUAAUACGGGGGGAACGAGCGUUGUUCGGAUUUACUGGGCGUAAAGGGCACGCAGGUGGGAAAAUAAGUCAGAUGUGAAACCCCAAAGCUUAACUCUGGGACUGCAUUUGAUACUGUUUUUCUUGAGUACGAGAGAGGAUGGCAGAAUUCUUGGUGUAGCGGUGAAAUGCGUAGAUAUCAAGAAGAAUACCGGUGGCGAAGGCGGCCAUCUGGCUCGAUACUGACGCUCAGGUGCGAAGGUCGGGGGAGCAAACAGGAUUAGAUACCCUGGUAGUCCCGACAGUAAACGAUGGGAACUAGGUGUUGGAGGUAACGACCCCUCCAGUGCCGCAGCUAACGCAUUAAGUUCCCCGCCUGGGGAGUACGAUCGCAAGAUUGAAACUCAAUGGAAUUGACGGGGGCCCGCACAAGCAGUGGAGUAUGUGGUUUAAUUCGACGCAACGCGAAGAACCUUACCUGGGUUUGACAUGCAGGAGAAAGCAUCAGAGAUGAUGCCUCGGCUUCGGUCGCUGCUGCACAGGUGCUGCAUGGCUGUCGUCAGCUCGUGCCGUGAGGUGUUGGGUUAAGUCCCGCAACGAGCGCAACCCCUAUUCUUAGUUGCUAUUCUGUCAAAAGAGGCACCCCUAGGAGACUGCCGGCGGUAAGCCGGAGGAAGGUGGGGAUGACGUCAAGUCCUCAUGGCCCUCACGUCCAGGGCUACACACGUACUACAAUGGUCGGUACAGAAGGCUGCAAGACCGCAAGGUGGAGCCAAUCCCGAAAACCGACCUCAGUUCAGAUUGAAGUCUGCAACUCGACUUCAUGAAGGUGGAAUUGCUAGUAAUCGCAGAUCAGCACGCCGCGGUGAAUACGUUCCCGGGCCUUGUACACACCGCCCGUCAAGCCAUGGAAGCUGGGAGUACCCGAAGCCGUUUGCCUAACCGCAAGGAGGGCGACGUCUAAGGUAAGACCGGUGACUGGGGCUAAGUCGGAACAAGGUA